CCGGCGACCGGCGCACGGGUGAGUAACACGUAUGCAACCUGCCCUCCGCAGGGGGAUAACCCGGAGAAAUCCGGACUAAUACCGCGUGGUACACCAGUGGGGCAUCCCACUGGUGUUAAAAGGAAGUGAUUCCGGCGGAGGAUGGGCAUGCGGCGCAUUAGCUUGUUGGCGGGGUAACGGCCCACCAAGGCGACGAUGCGUAGGGGUUCUGAGAGGAAGGUCCCCCACACUGGUACUGAGACACGGACCAGACUCCUACGGGAGGCAGCAG
This 271-nucleotide ribosomal RNA is filed under the name uncultured bacterium. RNAcentral's name for it is "partial 16S ribosomal RNA". It matches the Rfam family "Bacterial small subunit ribosomal RNA", at positions 88 to 354 of the family's 1533-position model. The record is from RNAcentral.